UUCGGGGUCGAGUUGUAUUUGUAGAGGACGUUUCGGGAGCGGCGCCGGUCUAAGUCCCUUGGAACAGGGCGUCACAGAGGGUGAGAAUCCCGUAUGUGACCGGUGGCCAACCCCAUGUGAAACCCCUUCGACGAGUCGAGUUGUUUGGGAAUGCAGCUCAAAAUGGGUGGUAAAUUUCAUCUAAAGCUAAAUACCGGCCAGAGACCGAUAGCGCACAAGUAGAGUGAUCGAAAGAUGAAAAGCACUUUGGAAAGAGAGUCAAACAGUACGUGAAAUUGUUGAAAGGGAAGCGCUGGCAACCAGACCUGUCCGCGGGCUUCAGCCCUCGUUCUCGAGGGUGUACUUGUCCGCGAUCAGGCCAGCAUCGGUUCGGGCGGUUGGAUAAAGGCCUUGGGAAUGUAGCUUCCCCCGGGAAGUCUUAUAGCCCUCGGCGCAAUGCGGCCAGCCCGGACCGAGGACCGCGCUCGGC
Molecule: ribosomal RNA, 469 nt
Filed under: Lecidella euphorea
Lineage: Eukaryota; Fungi; Ascomycota; Lecanoromycetes; Lecanorales; Lecanoraceae
Description: eukaryotic LSU rRNA
Rfam family: Eukaryotic large subunit ribosomal RNA
Source: RNAcentral